CUAUUACAUUUUUAUUGCCACUUUUAAAGGGAUCAAAGAAAAGCAGCAAAUUUACUUGUGACGUGGUUGUCAAAGCGUAUACGAGUAUACUGAAAAGUUCGAAACGAAAAGAUUUAAAUGAUUCAACGAAUAUUUUAAUAGUAUCUAGAAGGCCCAUGGAUGUAGAAACUCGUUCCAGAUGUUUUUGUGUUUGGAACUGUCGAUGUCAUUGCAUUGGUAAAAUAGAAACGUUCAGGGAUAUCAAUGCUUGUCAAAAAAUGAGCUAUACGGCAGAAAAAGAUGCCGGAUUACUGCUGAACUGUCCGUCCAACGAUGAUUUUAGUGAUUUCUGUUCAAUGGACUUAAGUAAUGAUAAAAUCGUUAACGAUUCAUCAUCUGAUACUCUUUACAAAGUGGUUGAAGUGAUUCUUGUAUUAUUUAUAGUACUGUUUUUAUUAGUUUUAUAUUGUUGCAAAUGCUUUGCACCAAGAAAGGAAGACCUUAUUGUUGCAAGUACAGAAUGGUUCUGCUGUCCUGAAAACAACUUAAUUACUUGUUCUAAAUAUAAUAACAAGUUACGGGAACCAUCACGAUCAUUAUGCACAUGUUCAUAUUCUAACAAAUAUUUUACGAAAGCAGACGUGAUACCAUCUACCAAUGUUUCGAUAUGUCCGUCGCUAGAAUUGUCACGAAAACAAUCGAAACAAACCGAUUUAUUGGAGACUGCUUUGGUUACGCUCGCAAGACAGCAGAAAGAUCUAAGAAAGCAAUCAAUGAAAAAAGAAUGGUGAUCAUUCAACUUGUCAUGGUUAUUAUAGAACAAUUUAUAAUGUUGUUGAUAUUUUUAAUUUGCUUACCAUUAGUAAAAACUCACGCUGUUUACAC
This is a long non-coding RNA of Drosophila innubila, 864 nucleotides long. RefSeq lists it as uncharacterized. The record is from RefSeq and is a predicted model, not a curated record. The transcript has 4 exons. Lineage: Eukaryota; Metazoa; Arthropoda; Insecta; Diptera; Drosophilidae.